GCUGGGCACGGUGGCUCAUGCCUGUAAUCCCAGCACUUUGGGAGGCUGAGAUGGGAAGAUUGCUUGAGGCCGGGAGUUCAACACCAGCCUGGUCAACAUAGUAAGAUCCCAUCUCUA
Molecule: non-coding RNA, 117 nt
Filed under: Homo sapiens (human)
Lineage: Eukaryota; Metazoa; Chordata; Mammalia; Primates; Hominidae
Source: Rfam by way of RNAcentral